AGCGGCGCUAUACAUGCAAGUCGAGCGGACAGAAGGGAGCUUGCUCCCGGAUGUUAGCGGCGGACGGGUGAGUAACACGUGGGUAACCUGCCUGUAAGACUGGGAUAACUCCGGGAAACCGGAGCUAAUACCGGAUAGUUCCUUGAACCGCAUGGUUCAAGGAUGAAAGACGGUUUCGGCUGUCACUUACAGAUGGACCCGCGGCGCAUUAGCUAGUUGGUGGGGUAAUGGCUCACCAAGGCGACGAUGCGUAGCCGACCUGAGAGGGUGAUCGGCCACACUGGGACUGAGACACGGCCCAGACUCCUACGGGAGGCAGCAGUAGGGAAUCUUCCGCAAUGGACGAAAGUCUGACGGAGCAACGCCGCGUGAGUGAUGAAGGUUUUCGGAUCGUAAAGCUCUGUUGUUAGGGAAGAACAAGUGCGAGAGUAACUGCUCGCACCUUGACGGUACCUAACCAGAAAGCCACGGCUAACUACGUGCCAGCAGCCGCGGUAAUACGUAGGUGGCAAGCGUUGUCCGGAAUUAUUGGGCGUAAAGGGCUCGCAGGCGGUUUCUUAAGUCUGAUGUGAAAGCCCCCGGCUCAACCGGGGAGGGUCAUUGGAAACUGGGAAACUUGAGUGCAGAAGAGGAGAGUGGAAUUCCACGUGUAGCGGUGAAAUGCGUAGAGAUGUGGAGGAACACCAGUGGCGAAGGCGACUCUCUGGUCUGUAACUGACGCUGAGGAGCGAAAGCGUGGGGAGCGAACAGGAUUAGAUACCCUGGUAGUCCACGCCGUAAACGAUGAGUGCUAAGUGUUAGGGGGUUUCCGCCCCUUAGUGCUGCAGCUAACGCAUUAAGCACUCCGCCUGGGGAGUACGGUCGCAAGACUGAAACUCAAAGGAAUUGACGGGGGCCCGCACAAGCGGUGGAGCAUGUGGUUUAAUUCGAAGCAACGCGAAGAACCUUACCAGGUCUUGACAUCCUCUGAAACCCUAGAGAUAGGGCUUUCCCUUCGGGGACAGAGUGACAGGUGGUGCAUGGCGUCGUCAGCUCGUGUCGUGAGAUGUGGGUAGUCCCGCACGAGCGCACCUUGGAUCUAGUGCAGCAUUCAGUGGCCUCUAAGUGACUGCGUGACAAUCGAAGGAGGUGGGGAUGACGUCAAUCAUCAUGGCCCCCU
Molecule: ribosomal RNA, 1159 nt
Filed under: Bacillus safensis
Lineage: Bacteria; Bacillati; Bacillota; Bacilli; Caryophanales; Bacillaceae
Description: bacterial SSU rRNA
Rfam family: Bacterial small subunit ribosomal RNA
Source: RNAcentral